This 285-nucleotide ribosomal RNA is filed under the name uncultured Limnohabitans sp. Its description in RNAcentral is "partial 16S ribosomal RNA". It matches the Rfam family "Bacterial small subunit ribosomal RNA", at positions 1 to 296 of the family's 1533-position model. Lineage: Bacteria; Pseudomonadati; Pseudomonadota; Betaproteobacteria; Burkholderiales; Comamonadaceae. The record is from RNAcentral.
CAUGGAGUUGAUCCUGGCUCAGAUUGAACGCUGGCUGAAUGCUUUACACAUGCAAGUCGAACGGUAGAGGGGGCAACCCCUUGAGAGUGGCGAACGGGUGAGUAAUAUAUCGGAACGUGCCCAGUCGUGGGGGAUAACGUAGCGAAAGUUACGCUAAUACCGCAUACGAUCUAAGGAUGAAAGCGGGGGAUCGCAAAGCCUCGCGCGAUUGGAGCGGCCGAUAUCAGAUUAGCUAGUUGGUGGGUAAACGGCCCACCGAAGGCGACGAUCUGUAGCUGGUCUGAG